Molecule: ribosomal RNA, 253 nt
Filed under: uncultured bacterium
Lineage: Bacteria
Description: partial 16S ribosomal RNA
Rfam family: Bacterial small subunit ribosomal RNA
Source: RNAcentral
UACAGAGGUCUCGAGCGUUAGGCGGAAUCACUGGGCUUAAAGCGUGUGUAGGUGGAUCGUUAAGUACCUUGUGAAAUCCCACGGCUUAACCGUGGAACUGCUUGGUAUACUGGCGGUCUUGAGCCAGCUAGGGGCUACCGGAACAAAUGGUGGAGCGGUGAAAUGCGUAGAUAUUAGUUGGAACGCCAAUGGUGAAAACAGGUAGCUGGGGCUGUGCUGACGCUGAGACACGAAAGCCAGGGGAGCAAACGGG